Long non-coding RNA from Homo sapiens (human), 587 nucleotides. Ensembl annotates it as IGF2BP2 antisense RNA 1. Its record names the gene IGF2BP2-AS1. The record is from Ensembl. Lineage: Eukaryota; Metazoa; Chordata; Mammalia; Primates; Hominidae.
GAAUCCCAGCUCUACCACGAUGCUGAGUCAGUCAUUCAACCUCUCUAAUGCCUCAGCCAUGAGACAGAGAAGAUUCUUUCUAAAUCUAUGAUUUACCUCAUUUUGACAGCAAAACAGAACUGUUGCAAGGAGAAGCAGAAACAAAGAAAAUCUCAGAGGUCUCUUCUUAUGUCUCUGCUAACAAUAAAAAGAACAGCUUUUGGGGAAGUGGGCUGCUUUAUCCUGUAGCCCUCCUCAGAUGCCAAGACUGCUGGGCUGGCCACCAGACUCACGUCCUCAGUAAGGAAUUUACCUCCUACUUUUCUUCGGGGGCAGGUAGGGAAGCACAGCACCAGCCCUCAGCUGUCUUGGGCUCCCUGAUCUGGUUAAGGAGAGUGUAUUUACUCAGGGCCAUGGUGGUGCAUGGAGGAAGCCAACCCUGUCAGCGCUGGCUGGUCAUCAGAAUGGAAGUGGGAGGACAUCCUUCAUUUCCAGGUCAUGCCUGGUUAACAUUUCACCUUAACUGAGGGGCCAAAGAGAGGCUACGCAGCCUGGAUCAGAGCUCCGACAGCCCUUACCUGGUGGCUUGUUCGUGGAAUUUAUCACAU